RNAcentral lists this long non-coding RNA (770 nucleotides) under Octopus vulgaris (common octopus). The record is from RNAcentral. Lineage: Eukaryota; Metazoa; Mollusca; Cephalopoda; Octopoda; Octopodidae.
GUUUAAUAAACAUUGUUUCACUAUUUUAAAGACACUGAAGUGGACCUGUUUUCUAUUUCUAUCUUUUCUUUCUUUAAAAAUCGAUCAGUGAUCGGAAAAAUUACGCGUUUUAUCAAUUUUCAAAACAAUUAUCUAUAUAUAUAUUUGUAAAAAUUUUAAUACGUAAGUUUAUACAGCUUUAUAACAUUGUUUCAGUAUAUUAAAGACACUGAGGUGGGACUGUUUUCUAUUUCUAUGUCUAUAUUUUCUAUCUUUAAAAAUCGAUCAGUGAUCGGAGAAAUUACACGUUUUAUCAAUUUGCCCCAAAAUUAUUUAUAGAUAUUUGUAAAAUUUUAAUACGUAGAUUUAUAUAGUUUUAAAACAUUAUUUCACUAUAUUAAAGACACUGAGGUGGGACUUUGGACCUGUUUUCUAUUUCUUUUUGUAGCUAAUUAUCUUCGAAAAGUCCGUAAUUGUCCACAGUUGCCCCCUCAAAAUCUCCCCUGAGACUUCAGAAAAGGGUUCUCUUAAUAUAUUUCCCCCUGACAUCUCCAAUCAGCUUCCCCACAUAAGAUUAGAAACCAGAAAAGCGCGACACUCUGGCUGCCUUCGUUAUGACAUUAACAAAUCUAUCGGAGCGUUAGGAAAAAAGUUACCCUGCGGUAUUUGUUCCGGCUCUUAACAUUCUGAGUUCAAAUCCUACCUAGGCCAGCUUUACUUUUUAAACUUUCAGGGGUCAGUGACAAGAGAAAAAGGAAGAAGAAAUCUACAAGUCAGGUGCUAUGGUUGAU